UUAGUACUCCCUCCGUCCGAAAAUAGUUGUCAUCAAAAUGAAUAAAAGGGGAUGUAUCUAGAAUACAUCUAGAUACAUCCCUUUUUAUUCAUUUUGAUAACAAGUAUUUUCGGACGGAGGGAGUACAUG
This is a non-coding RNA of Triticum aestivum (bread wheat), 129 nucleotides long. NCBI's taxonomy places the organism in Eukaryota, Viridiplantae, Streptophyta, Magnoliopsida, Poales, Poaceae. The record is from Rfam.